UGAGGAAUAUUGGUCAAUGGGCGAUGGCCUGAACCAGCCAAGUAGCGUGAAGGAUGACUGCCCUAUGGGUUGUAAACUUCUUUUAUAAAGGAAUAAAGUCGGGUAUGCAUACCCGUUUGCAUGUACUUUAUGAAUAAGGAUCGGCUAACUCCGUGCCAGCAGCCGCGGUAAUACGGAGGAUCCGAGCGUUAUCCGGAUUUAUUGGGUUUAAAGGGAGCGUAGAUGGAUGUUUAAGUCAGUUGUGAAAGUUUGCGGCUCAACCGUAAAAUUGCAGUUGAUACUGGAUGUCUUGAGUGCAGUUGAGGCAGGCGGAAUUCGUGGUGUAGCGGUGAAAUGCUUAGAUAUCACGAAGAACUCCGAUUGCGAAGGCAGCCUGCUAAGCUGCAACUGACAUUGAGGCUCGAAAGUGUGGGUAUCAAACAGG
RNAcentral lists this ribosomal RNA (424 nucleotides) under Acidobacteriota bacterium. RNAcentral's name for it is "Acidobacteria bacterium partial 16S ribosomal RNA". It matches the Rfam family "Bacterial small subunit ribosomal RNA", at positions 355 to 776 of the family's 1533-position model. The record is from RNAcentral. Lineage: Bacteria; Pseudomonadati; Acidobacteriota. RNAcentral also lists the same sequence under 2 other names.